Molecule: long non-coding RNA, 338 nt
Organism: Limulus polyphemus (Atlantic horseshoe crab)
Lineage: Eukaryota; Metazoa; Arthropoda; Merostomata; Xiphosura; Limulidae
Exons: 3
Source: RefSeq, a predicted model, not a curated record
AUGUUGCUAUUGAAAGACUACUUGCAUUAUUAUUUUAGGUAUCGUAUGUAUAGAAAAAGUCAAACAACUGGUUUUCCAUCUCUUAUCACUAUUUUCUCUGCACCUAACUACUUAGAUGUGUACAAUAAUAAAGCUGCUGUCCUAAAUAUGAGAACAAUGUCAUGAACAUUAGGCAGUUUAACUGUUCUGCACAUCCCUACUGGCUGCCAAACUUCAUGGAUGUAUUCACUUGGUCAUUACCGUUUGUUGGAGAAAAAGUCACUGAAAUGCUUGUCAAUCUUUUGAAGAUCUGUUCUGAUGAUGAACUGAUGUCUGAAGGCGAUGAUUCAUUUGAAGGU